Molecule: ribosomal RNA, 141 nt
Filed under: uncultured bacterium
Lineage: Bacteria
Description: partial 16S rRNA
Rfam family: Bacterial small subunit ribosomal RNA
Source: RNAcentral
UGGGGAAUUUUCCGCAAUGGGCGAAAGCCUGACGGAGCAAUGCCGCGUGGAGGUGGAAGGCCUACGGGUCGUCAACUUCUUUUCUCGGAGAAGAAACAAUGACGGUAUCUGAGGAAUAAGCAUCAGCUAACUCUGUGUCAG